RNAcentral lists this unclassified non-coding RNA (181 nucleotides) under soil metagenome. RNAcentral describes it as "partial internal transcribed spacer 1". The record is from RNAcentral.
CAGAGUUGCGAGAACUCCCUAAACCAUUGUGAACGUUAUCCGUACCGUGUGCUUCGGCGGGCGUCCCCGGGGAGGGCUCCCGGCAGCCCCUGGCCCCGAGGGCGGCGGGCGCCCGCCGGAGGUCUCCAAACCUCUUGAUACUUAUAGUGGCACUCUCUGAGUCUUAACAAGAAAUAAGUCA